UACGUAGGGGGCAAGCGUUGUCCGGAUUUAUUGGGCGUAAAGAGCGUGUAGGCGGCCAUGUAGGUCCGGUGUGAAAACUCGAGGCUUAACCUCGAGAUGUCAUCGGAAACCAUUUGGCUAGAGUCCGGAAGAGGAGAGUGGAAUUCCUGGUGUAGCGGUGAAAUGCGCAGAUAUCAGGAAGAACACCAAUGGCGAAAGCGGGUCUCUGGGCCGAUACUGACGCUGAGGAGCGAAAGCGUGGGGAGCGAACAGG
RNAcentral lists this ribosomal RNA (253 nucleotides) under uncultured bacterium. RNAcentral describes it as "partial 16S ribosomal RNA". It matches the Rfam family "Bacterial small subunit ribosomal RNA", at positions 524 to 776 of the family's 1533-position model. The record is from RNAcentral.